CCUACGGGUGGCAGCAGUGCGGAAUAUUGGUCACUGGACGAGAGUCUGAACCAGCCAAGUAGCGUGAAGGAUGACUGCCCUAUGGGUUGUAAACUUCUUUUAUAUGGGCAUAAAAUGUUCCACGUGUGGGAUUUUGUAUGUACCAUAUGAUUAAGGAUCGGCUAACUCCGUGACAGCAGCCGCGGUAAUCCGGAGGAUCCGAGCGUUAUCCGGAUUUCUUGGGUUUACCGGGAGCGUAGAUGGAUUGUUAAGUCAGUUGUGAAAGUUUGCGGCUCAACCGUAAAUUUUCAGUUGAAACUGGCAGUCUUGAGUACAGUAGAGGUGGGCGGAAUUCGUGGUGUAGCGGUGAAAUGCUUAGAUAUCACGAAGAACUCCGAUUGCGAAGGCAGCUCACUGGACUGCAACUGACACUGAGGCUCGAAAGUGUGGGUAUCAAACAGGAUUAGAUACCCUUGUAGUC
RNAcentral lists this ribosomal RNA (460 nucleotides) under uncultured bacterium. RNAcentral's name for it is "partial 16S ribosomal RNA". It matches the Rfam family "Bacterial small subunit ribosomal RNA", at positions 338 to 795 of the family's 1533-position model. The record is from RNAcentral.